GCAAUCGUAGCUUAAAGUAGAGCGGCACGUUAGCGCGACGUGAACACGAUGCAGGUUCGAUGCCUGCCGAUUGCA
This 75-nucleotide transfer RNA is filed under the name Lacticaseibacillus manihotivorans. RNAcentral's name for it is "Lactobacillus manihotivorans tRNA-Ala". It matches the Rfam family "tRNA". From Rfam's summary of the family: Transfer RNA (tRNA) molecules are approximately 80 nucleotides in length. Their secondary structure includes four short double-helical elements and three loops (D, anti-codon, and T loops). Lineage: Bacteria; Bacillati; Bacillota; Bacilli; Lactobacillales; Lactobacillaceae. The record is from RNAcentral.